RNAcentral lists this ribosomal RNA (168 nucleotides) under Sebacinaceae sp. RNAcentral's name for it is "partial large subunit ribosomal RNA". It matches the Rfam family "Eukaryotic large subunit ribosomal RNA", at positions 100 to 261 of the family's 3401-position model. The record is from RNAcentral. Lineage: Eukaryota; Fungi; Basidiomycota; Agaricomycetes; Sebacinales; Sebacinaceae.
GGGAAAAGCUCAAAUUUAAAAUCUGGCAGUCUUUGGCUGUCCGAGUUGUAAUCUAGAGAAGCAUUAUCCGCGCUGGACCGUGUACAAGUUCCCUGGAACGGGGCGUCAUAGAGGGUGAGAAUCCCGUAUAUGGCACGGACUACCGGAGCUCUGUGAUACACUCUCAAC